CCUACGGGUGACAGCAGUGGGGAAUAUUGCACAAUGGGCGAAAGCCUGAUGCAGCAACGCCGCGUGAGCGAUGAAGGCCUUCGGGUCGUAAAGCUCUAUCCUCAAGGAAGAUAAUGACGGUACUUGAGGAGGAAGCCCCGGCUAACUACGUGCCAGCAGCCGCGGUAAUACGUAGGGGGCUAGCGUUAUCCGGAAUUACUGGGCGUAAGGGGUGCGUAGGUGGUUUCUUAAGUCAGAGGUGAAAGGCUACGGCUCAACCGUAGUAAGCCUUUGAAACUGGGAAACUUGAGUGCAGGAGAGGAGAGUGGAAUUCCUAGGGUAGCGGUGAAAUGCGUAGAGAGUAGGAGGAACACCAGGGGCGAAGGCGGCCUACUGGACGGUGACUGACGCUGAGGCUCGAAAGCGUGGGGAGCAAACAGGAUUAGAUACCCCUGUAGUC
RNAcentral lists this ribosomal RNA (439 nucleotides) under uncultured bacterium. Its description in RNAcentral is "partial 16S ribosomal RNA". It matches the Rfam family "Bacterial small subunit ribosomal RNA", at positions 338 to 795 of the family's 1533-position model. The record is from RNAcentral.